This is a long non-coding RNA of Manis javanica (Malayan pangolin), 3773 nucleotides long. RefSeq lists it as uncharacterized. Lineage: Eukaryota; Metazoa; Chordata; Mammalia; Pholidota; Manidae. The record is from RefSeq and is a predicted model, not a curated record.
GGGUAGGGCCGCUCACCGGUGUGGGAGCGCAUGUGGCGCUUCAGGAUGCACUGGUGCAUGGCCGAGAAGCUGCAGUACGGGCACCUGAACUUCUUCCGGAUCACCGUGAACUCGUUCACUGAAAGACAGCGGGGAGCGAGCCAGGGGCUUCGUGUCCUGGAUGCCCAGUGGAAAGCGGCUGCUCUCAGCUGAAGGCUGGUGGGCCCAGCUGAGCGAGAGGCCAGCUCGGCCCCAGCGGUGCACAGAGCGGAAGCCUUGAAGGGCGUCCAGUGCCUAGCAGAUUUCUUUGGUUCCCAGUGACAUAUUGCACGCUGGCGUGCACGACGGCUCUUUCCUCUGGGAUUGCCCAACUUCUCACAGAGAGUCAGGCCGCCCUGGGACACACCCCCAGGUAGACCCGGGUCUGGCCUCAGGGCAGAACAGGGCGAGGCCAUUGUGGCCCCAAGAGCAGCCGUGCACUUGGCCGCCGCAGCCCACCCGCUCGGUGCCCACCUCGGUUUCUGUUCUUAGAAAAGGAUUCCGCGUCCCCACCAAGCCUGAGAACAGCUUCCCCAUGUCCCUCCCAGAGGUCUGCGUCCUUUCCUAGAAGGUAAAGCAUUCUCUGACAUUCAGGGGCUUUUAGCGUGCAUUAAGGAACUGGGGCGCAGCCUGGGGAGGAAGGUAGGACACAGGGUCCAGGCGCCUCCAGCCAUGUCCAUCGCACCUGCGGAUGAAGACCUGGUGCUCCCCCUCCUUUGGCCCUCGGCCGCCCAACCAACUGCUCAGUCAGGCAACAAGGUCGCCCGGCUGCCCCUGUCGUGACGCCAACAGAGGGCAUGCGCACCGCCACGCCGAGAUGAAAAGGAGCCAGGAAACCAACUCUGAGAUUGCUUCGUUUAAAACAACUUCCUUGGGAAUGUAUUUAUUCAUGGUUUCUCUUUUGCUUCUAUAAACAUGAAAAUUAAAAUUUUGAAUUACGUAUUUUAGGCUUCUGUAUUUAACAAUUCAGUCCUACAUGUUAAAAAAAUGCUCAUCUCUGUGCAGAACUGUGUGUAUCUCCUGGGAAAACAAGUCAGGACGCAGUGGCCCGAGUUUGGCUGUGAGGGACCCACCCACCUGCCCUGGCUCACGUUCUGGCCCAGAGCCCGUGCGCUGCACGCUGCAGAUGGCCCACUUCACAUGCACUUUCUGAAGUCACCUGGAGCGACACAUGCCCUGACACGUUCCCACAAACUGGGCGGCACAGCCAAGAGAAAUCUACCCUCACAGGCCGGGAGGCUGGAAGUCCGAAGUCGAGGUGUCCCAGGGCUGCACUCCCUCCACAGGCUCCUUCCUGCCCCUUCCUGCCCCUGGGGACCCCAGACCUUCUGGGCGUGUGGCCGUCGGGCUGUCUCUGCCUCCAUCUUCAUGAGGUUCUUCCCGUCUGUGUCUCCUCUUCUGUCUCUUAUAUGGACACCUGUCACUGGACUUAGGGCCAACUUGGAUAUUCCAAGAUGAUCUUAUCUUGAGAGCCUUCAUUUAGUUAUAUCUGCAAAGACCUUUUUUCCAAAUAGGGCCACAUCCACAGGUUCCAGGGAUUGGGACAUGGACCACGGGUGGCGAGUAGAGUACCACCCACCCAGUACGGUCAACCAACAGCACUGUGAUUACCGAAGGCGAUUUUCAUUGGCCGUUAUGAUUAAAAUAACUUCGUAUGGGAAAGAACCUAAGCCCUCCACCGCAGGUGACUUACAGUCAAGAAGACUUUCAAUAUCAAUUUCAUUCUCAUAAACUCUGAAGACUUAAAAAUCCACAUAGUGAAGGAGCAAUGAAAUAAAUGAAAAAGCACAGGCAUCAUUAAAUCCCACCAGAUGUUCUCUGCUGAUCUGUCCUAAACCCUUUCGCCUGGAUGCAACGUUCGGGAAGCCGGCUCCAGGUUCUCUAACCUAUGACGCUCAGUGACACCUGGCUGCAGGUUGCAGAAAUAAUGGACAAGAACACCGCUCAGCCAGGCCGCCUCCCCAGCGGCACCCUGCCCAGCCACGUGCAGGUCUCGGGGCCACAGCCACCCGGCCUCGACCCUCCGCGGCGCUGCAGGAGAAUUGGGCAGUAUAAGGAUCCACCGUACGAGUGAAAGCUCAAGCUGCCUCCAGACCAUCGGGGACACCAAGAGACCACCAGGGAAGCCGGCAGGGCUGGCAGGCCGCUGGCAGGGAGAGGGCAUCUUUCUCGGGAAGGGCAGCAAGCCUUUCAUUGCGUAAGACCCAUCCUGGAUUUUCAUUCUUCCUUUGAUCGUAACUUCCAAAAGACUGCACUUCAAGUGCCUUCCAGAAAUGGAUCCGAAUGUGAACCAUACCUUGUCUUUUCAUUCAUAAAUGUCUUAUGCUGUCACUUACUUUGUGUCAGAACACAGUGAAGUUAAGAUGUGUCCAAAUUAUUUUCAAAAGGUUUUUAAUCUUACGUGAAAUGCACGUCCCUGAAGUGUAAGAUCAGUGAACUUUCACCUCCGUGCCUGCCCACAUAACCACCACCUACAUACAAGGAAGUGUGCAGCCCCUGCCGGUCAAGGCCCCUGAAGGCGGUGACCGCCUGCCCUCCAGCACCGGACGUCUGUUCUAGGACUUUGUACACGUGGGAUCGCUGGUCUGCGAGUCACCACAUCGCUGCCUGGAGCUGCGGUUUGUUCUUGGAUUCCACCGUACGUCCGACCGCACCCCCAGCCUAUGGCUGACCCGCACUGGACCCCGUAGACACUGCUGCCGGACAGUGCUCAGACCAGGUGGACAUACACAAGAGAGGAAUGUCUGGGCCACAGGGCAUUUGUGAGCUCCAUUUCCGUAGGCAGCUGCCCUAGCGUGUGUUUCCACUGGUCACGUGUGAGCAUCGUCCCAGCUGUUUCACGCCUUCCCGGCCGGUCAGCCCUCCCACUCUGGUCACUGGUGGGAGCACAGAGGGGCUGCAGUGUGGCUUUAACGUGCAUUUCACAAUGGCUAAUGGCAGCCUGGUGGCCGCUUGGACACCCCCUUCUGUGAAGUGCUUGUUCAAGUCUUCUAAUUUGUGCUAACUGCCUUUCCCUUUGAUUCUUUCAGUUUUAGGUAUUCUGAAUUUGAGUCCUUUGUAAGAGAGAUUUAUUGCAAACAUUUUCUCUAGUCUGUGACCGCACCUUUUGUUGUCUUUAUGGUGUCUUUUAGUAAAGAAAUUAAUUUUAAUAAAGUCCAUUUUAUCAGACUUGCAUUGUUAGCUUUUUAUGAGCCAUUUAAGAAAUUUUUGUCCACCACCAUGGUCGUGAGCUCCUCUCCUAGGCCUUCCAGAAAGCUUUUUCCUUUUAUAUGUAGGUUCAUGAGCCAUCCCAAAUUAAGCUGUGUGCUUGGUGGAAGGUAGGAGUUGAGAUUAACAUUUUUCCUCCAUGCUGACAUCCAAUUCACUCAGAACCACACACGGAAAAAACCACCUCCCACUGAGCUGCACGGUGGCUCCGCCCACCCAGGAGGUCCCACACGUCACAGCCUGUGCCAGACUGCCCUCAGCCCACUGUCAGACAGCCCUGCCCUUUGGGUCUUGACGCCUGUUGCUGUUGGCCUUCCACCUGCUCCCAGACCUCCUCGGCCAGGAUUAAUGUACCUUCUGCGCUCUAUAUUCCUAUACUGAGACCUGCUGCGGGAGGCCUCCCAGGGUGGGCCACUUCCAAGAGACAAUAAAUGGCCUGCCUGGAACCCUGCCUUCCACAUGGGGAGCCCACGCCCACCCACAGGCACAGACAACGAGGGACACCCGUGCUUCGGAGCCACUUAAGCUGUUUGGACCAGCCCGUCCUA